Molecule: ribosomal RNA, 403 nt
Filed under: uncultured Actinomycetes bacterium
Lineage: Bacteria; Bacillati; Actinomycetota; Actinomycetes
Description: uncultured actinobacterium partial 16S ribosomal RNA
Rfam family: Bacterial small subunit ribosomal RNA
Source: RNAcentral
UUAGGAAUCUUGCGCAAUGGACGAAAGUCUGACGCAGCGACGCCGCGUGCGGGAUGAAGGCCCUCGGGUUGUAAACCGCUUUCAGCAGGGACGAAAAUGACGGUACCUGCAGAAGAAGCCCCGGCCAACUACGUGCCAGCAGCCGCGGUAAUACGUAGGGGGCGAGCGUUGUCCGGAUUUAUUGGGCGUAAAGAGCUCGUAGGUGGUUUGGUAAGUCGGAUGUGAAAUCUCCAGGCUCAACCUGGAGGGGUCAUUCGAUACUGCCAUGACUAGAGUUCGGUAGGGGAGUGUGGAAUUCCUGGUGGAGCGGUGAAAUGCGCAGAUAUCAGGAGGAACACCCGUAGCGAAGGCGGCACUCUGGGCCGAUACUGACACUGAGGAGCGAAAGCGUGGGGAGCGAACA